ACAAUAGCCUCGCCGCUGGGUGCCCUUCGCAGGGUGAAACGGGAAGCCGGUCCAAGUCCGGCACUGCCCCCGCAACGGUAGGUGAGAAAAAGACGAAUCACAAUGCCACUGGAUUUCAAUAUCCGGGAAGGCGGUUCGUACAGCUCUGGCUGCUCACAAGUCCGGAGACCGGCCCGGCAGGCCAAUUGGCA
RNAcentral lists this non-coding RNA (191 nucleotides) under Methylothermaceae bacterium. Lineage: Bacteria; Pseudomonadati; Pseudomonadota; Gammaproteobacteria; Methylococcales; Methylothermaceae. The record is from RNAcentral.